Zalophus californianus (California sea lion) is the source of this 1582-nucleotide long non-coding RNA. The record is from Ensembl. NCBI's taxonomy places the organism in Eukaryota, Metazoa, Chordata, Mammalia, Carnivora, Otariidae.
GUUGGGGGGAUGGGUAGCAUCUGGAUUGCCUCUCCCUCUGCCCCCACCUGAGCCUAGACCCUGGACCCUGGAAACUCUCUGUGUCUUUCUGGAGCUAUUGUGUUUUGUCUGAACUCCAAGUCCUGUCUUCCUGUCUUCCAACCUUUACUCUCGUAUCCCUGACACAAGACAUGUCAGAAAUAGGAGACUUGGCUGUCAGUAAAGGCCACAUACACUCACUUAAGUGGAGGUUAUGAGGAGGGUCUGCAGGGGAGGUGGGAGGAGAUGGUAGAGAGAUGAUGGUGAACAUUCCUCCCUGUUGUCAUAAUUUUAUUAAAGGCACAAAAGUCCUGGAGGAAGUAGCAGGGUAUAAGUAGAAAAAACCAUGACUUUAGAUUUGGGGGCAGACACAUCCAGAUUCAAGCCCCAGCCAUGAAUGAGUACCUUAGGCAAACUGCCUCAGUUUUUCCUGUCUAUAAAAUAGGCUAAUUCUUCCUUCUUCACAGGGUUGCUGUGGAACAUUUAGCCCAUGGCCUGCCUCAUAGACAAUGAUUAAUAAACCCCAAUGGCCUGGCCUCACAGGGCACAUCCUAUUUGGUAGGCCUACAUUGACCUCCCAUCGUCACCACAGUGGCCUCAUGAGGAAGAUGUAUUUAUGUUCACUCCAUUUACAGGGUACUGUCCUCCCCAACAAAAAUCACCAGCCAACUAUCCACCUGAGACGCUAACCAUGGAAUCACAGGAUAUCAGGACUGACAAGGAUCUUGAGACCAUCUAGUCUGUCCCACUGAUUUUAGAGAGGAGGAAGUAACAGCUCAGUGGGAGGACCUGAACUUGCCUGUCGGUUGUGUUAAAAUAUGUGUGUGUGUGUGUACACAUAUAUAUGUAUAUGUGUGUAUAUCACAUAUUUAAAUUGGGAGGAGGGGCUUUCCCUUGGCUUCCUAUUAAAAGUUUCUUUUUUAAGAAAUCCCAACAUGUUAGCUGAAUAAAAGGACAGAGGACUUGUUCUACACCCAGGUGUGGUUAGCUAUGGGGAUUGGUGCUUCCCUAGAGACCACAUCUGGGGUUGGCAGGGGGUGAAGCCCUAGGCCAAUGGAGAACCAAGUAGGGCAGCUGGCGAAUCGGUCUCUGACACUGCUGUGCACGAUUAGUGUGACCUGAAGCAGCUGCUCAGUCUCUCUGAAUCUCAGUCUCAUCUCUCCCAGCAGGGUGAUUUUGAGGAUAAAACUAGACAAUUUAUAUAAAGCAUCCAGCUCAGGGCCUGGCACGUAGUAGGGGCUUAGUAAAUGGGUAAGAGUAUUGUGUGUUGGGCACCUAGUUUAGAUUAGGUGCUAUGGAUUCCAAGAAAAUGGGAUCCUUCCCCAGGUUGCUCGCUGCCAGUCAGGGGAGACAGACAGACGGACAGCCCCCCUCGGUGAGCAUAGUGGGAUAAGCUUUGUUAGAUGGGCACGUUCUGCGGCAGCACAGAACAGAGCUCAACUGGCUUCUCUUGCUGAGGGAAUCAGACAAGGCCUCAUGGAGGAGGUGACUUUUGUCUGCACCUUGAAGGAAGAGUAAUACCAAACAGAGGAAUUGGGGAGGGCAUUUGAGACAGGGAAGAGCA